GUGCGCAAGUUGUUUACCAUGGCCUUCUGUGGUGUUGUACAACCUUAAGUCUCUGCCGUUGUUUUUGAUCAAAUUUUUGACCGCUCAGGACCGUCAGAAGAAUCCUUAUGGAGAGAUUUACAGACAGCCGUGAGAAUUUUGUGUCCCAAGCUUUUCGCUCCACCAACAGCCCUGAGGUCGGGGGUUCGAACAGCAUUUCACUGUGUGAGAACGGACCCCUCGGCCAGGAUCCGCCAGUUUGCCCACCACCUCCAGGAGAAGGAGAGCUGUGGCUGAAGGGUGCCGGCCUGAGGGAGAGGAGGCAAAGCCCAGAAAGAGACUGGCAGGACCAGUUCCAGCGCCCGGCCGUUCCUCCGACUCACGGGGCCCGGUGGGCGGGGUCUACUGUAGGACUUGCUAUUGGCCUGGGUGACAGGAAGAAUGGAGAGGAUCAGGGCCCCAGGAAGCCAAUUGUUGGGGGCUACCUGCGCACCCCGGCUACAGGGGAUGCGCAGGGCUGGGAUGGAACCUUGGGAAGCCCCAAUGUUCCCCGAGAACUUCCACUCUCUGCUCCAACCGCAAACGAAAGCGGGGAACCCAGGCUUGUGGGGAAGCGAGGGGCCUGGGGAAGGUGACCCCGAUCCCGGUAGCCUGGAAAGCUACAUACCAGUUGGAAUUGGAAUCAAAAGGCUCAUGAAAACUGA
Long non-coding RNA from Ornithorhynchus anatinus (platypus), 683 nucleotides. RefSeq lists it as uncharacterized. The record is from RefSeq and is a predicted model, not a curated record. NCBI's taxonomy places the organism in Eukaryota, Metazoa, Chordata, Mammalia, Monotremata, Ornithorhynchidae. The transcript is spliced from 3 exons.